AACGAACGCUGGCGGCAGGCCUAACACAUGCAAGUCGAACGCCGUAGCAAUACGGAGUGGCAGACGGGUGAGUAACACGUGGGAACAUACCCUUCGGUUCGGAAUAACUCAGGGAAACUUGAGCUAAUACCGGAUACGUCCGCGAGGAGAAAGAUUCAUCGCCGGAGGAUUGGCCCGCGUCUGAUUAGCUUGUUGGUGAGGUAACGGCUCACCAAGGCGACGAUCAGUAGCNGGUCUGAGAGGAUGAUCAGCCACAUUGGGACUGAGACACGGCCCAAACUCCUACGGGAGGCAGCAGUGGGGAAUAUUGGACAAUGGGCGCAAGCCUGAUCCAGCCAUGCCGCGUGAGUGAUGAAGGCCCUAGGGUUGUAAAGCUCUUUUACCCGGGAAGAUAAUGACUGUACCGGGAGAAUAAGCCCCGGCUAACUUCGUGCCAGCAGCCGC
Molecule: ribosomal RNA, 444 nt
Filed under: uncultured bacterium
Lineage: Bacteria
Description: bacterial SSU rRNA
Rfam family: Bacterial small subunit ribosomal RNA
Source: RNAcentral